Molecule: ribosomal RNA, 253 nt
Filed under: uncultured bacterium
Lineage: Bacteria
Description: partial 16S ribosomal RNA
Rfam family: Bacterial small subunit ribosomal RNA
Source: RNAcentral
UACGGAGGGUGCAAGCGUUGUCCGGAUUUAUUGGGUUUAAAGGGUGCGUAGGCGGCCCGUUAAGUCAGUGGUGAAAGCCUCCAGCUCAACUGGAGAACUGCCAUUGAUACUGACGGGCUUGAGUACAGACGAGGUUGGCGGAAUUGAUUGUGUAGCGGUGAAAUGUAUAGAUACAAUCAAGAACUCCGAUUGCGUAGGCAGCUAACUAGGCUGUAACUGACGCUGAGGCACGAAAGCGUGGGGAGCGAACAGG